This 84-nucleotide transfer RNA is filed under the name Leucobacter sp. Its description in RNAcentral is "tRNA-Tyr". It matches the Rfam family "tRNA". Rfam says of the family: Transfer RNA (tRNA) molecules are approximately 80 nucleotides in length. The record is from RNAcentral. Lineage: Bacteria; Bacillati; Actinomycetota; Actinomycetes; Micrococcales; Microbacteriaceae.
GGCGGAUUACCCGAGCGGCCAAAGGGAGCUGACUGUAAAUCAGCUGCGAAAGCUACGGGGGUUCAAAUCCCUCAUCCGCCACCA